CAGUAGCCGCGGUAAUACGUAGGGUGCGAGCGUUAAUCGGAAUUACUGGGCGUAAAGCGUGCGCAGGCGGUUUUGUAAGACAGGCGUGAAAUCCCCGGGCUCAACCUGGGAAUGGCGCUUGUGACUGCAAAGCUAGAGUGCGGCAGAGGGGGAUGGAAUUCCGCGUGUAGCAGUGAAAUGCGUAGAUAUGCGGAGGAACACCGAUGGCGAAGGCAAUCCCCUGGGCCUGCACUGACGCUCAUGCACGAAAGCGUGGGGAGCAAACAGGAUUAGAUACCCCUGUAGUCCCUGUCUCUUAUAA
This 301-nucleotide ribosomal RNA is filed under the name uncultured bacterium. RNAcentral's name for it is "partial 16S ribosomal RNA". It matches the Rfam family "Bacterial small subunit ribosomal RNA", at positions 509 to 809 of the family's 1533-position model. The record is from RNAcentral.